RNAcentral lists this long non-coding RNA (468 nucleotides) under Homo sapiens (human). RNAcentral's name for it is "non-protein coding lnc-TFEC-9:2". Lineage: Eukaryota; Metazoa; Chordata; Mammalia; Primates; Hominidae. The record is from RNAcentral.
GGAGAGAUCAACAUUUGUGGCAACUUGGAGAACUUCCUCCUAUUCUUUAGGGCUGAUCUCACAGCAAACUAUAGAACCAUCAGUCACACAACUUAGUACUUUUUUUUGAGACAGAGUCUUGCUCCAUUGCCUAGGCUGGAGUGCAGUGGUGUGAUCAUGGCUGACUGCAAGCUCCACCUCCUGGGUUCACGCCAUUCUCCUGCCUCAGCCUCCCGAGUAGCUGGGAUUACAAGUGCCCGACACCACGCCCAGCCAAUUUUUUGUAUUUUUAGUAGAGAUAGGGUUUCACCAUGUUAGCCAGGAUGGUCUCGAUCUCCUGACCUCAUGAUCCACCUGUCUCGGCCUCCCAAAGUGCUGGGAUUACAGGUGUGAGCCACCACGCCUGGCCAGCUCAAGCUCUUCCUCACAUGAUAGAGAACUACUUUGAGGAGGCUGUGGGAAUCACAUGUCUGUUGCUAACUUGAGUUC